CACCGCGGUUAUACGAGAGGCCCAAGCUGACAGCCAUCGGCGUAAAGCGUGGUUAAACCAAAAACUAUAAUAAAGCCGAACACCUUCUCAACUGUUAUACGCACUCGAAGGUCAGAAGCCCUACUACGAAAGUGGCUUUAAAACAUUGAACCCACGAAAGCUAAGACA
This 168-nucleotide ribosomal RNA is filed under the name Enchelyurus kraussii (Krauss' blenny). Its description in RNAcentral is "partial 12S rRNA". Lineage: Eukaryota; Metazoa; Chordata; Actinopteri; Blenniiformes; Blenniidae. The record is from RNAcentral.